This 414-nucleotide ribosomal RNA is filed under the name uncultured microorganism. RNAcentral describes it as "bacterial SSU rRNA". It matches the Rfam family "Archaeal small subunit ribosomal RNA", at positions 459 to 872 of the family's 1478-position model. The record is from RNAcentral.
CAGCCGCCGCGGUAAUACCGGCGGCCCGAGUGGCGGCCACUAUUAUUGGGCUUAAAGCGUCCGUAGCCGGGUUGGUUAGUCUCCCGGGAAAUCUGGCCGCUUAACGGUCAGAAUUCCGGGAGAUACUGCCAGCCUAGGGACCGGGAGAGGCCGAGGGUCUUCCCGGAGUAGGGGUGAAAUCCUAUAAUCCCGGGAGGACCACCUGUGGCGAAGGCGCUCGGCUGGAACGGGUCCGACGGUGAGGGAUGAAGGCCAGGGGAGCAAACCGGAUUAGAUACCCGGGUAGUCCUGGCUGUAAACGAUGCGGACUUUGUGUCGGACAAGCUAUGAGCUUGUCCGGUGCCGGAGGGAAACCGUUAAGUCCGCCGCCUGGGGAGUACGGCCGCAAGGCUGAAACUUAAAGGAAUUGGCGGG